This 489-nucleotide ribosomal RNA is filed under the name uncultured bacterium. Its description in RNAcentral is "bacterial SSU rRNA". It matches the Rfam family "Bacterial small subunit ribosomal RNA", at positions 43 to 524 of the family's 1533-position model. The record is from RNAcentral.
CAGGCCUAACACAUGCAAGUCGAACGGCAGCACAGUAAGAGCUUGCUCUUACGGGUGGCGAGUGGCGGACGGGUGAGGAAUACAUCGGAAUCUACUUUUUCGUGGGGGAUAACGUAGGGAAACUUACGCUAAUACCGCAUACGACCUACGGGUGAAAGCAGGGGACCUUCGGGCCUUGCGCGAUUGAAUGAGCCGAUGUCGGAUUAGCUAGUUGGCAGGGUAAAGGCCCACCAAGGCGACGAUCCGUAGCUGGUGUGAGAGCACGACCAGCCACACGGGCACUGAGACACGGGCCCGACUCCUACGGGAGGCAGCAGUGAGGAAUAUUGGUCAAUGGACGCAAGUCUGAACCAGCCAUGCCGCGUGAAGGAUGAAGGCGUUACGCGUCGUAAACUUCUUUUAUCUGGGAAGAAACCUCAGUAUUCUUAUUGAGCCGACGGUACCAGAGGAAUAAGCACCGGCUAACUCCGUGCCAGCAGCCGCGGUAAU